RNAcentral lists this long non-coding RNA (316 nucleotides) under Elaeis guineensis (African oil palm). RNAcentral describes it as "long non-coding RNA (EGUI_LNC026059)". The record is from RNAcentral. Lineage: Eukaryota; Viridiplantae; Streptophyta; Magnoliopsida; Arecales; Arecaceae.
UCCUCUAGGCAUUGGUGUUACUGUUGCUAUUCUGCAAUUUAUUGAAGACUAUGAACAGUUUUCAUCAAAAUCUUGACAUCUUGACCUGCUGCACCAAGGCAGCAAAUUGUUAUUGGCCACCGUGAUCAUCAGACACGAAGUGCUAGGCUCUACAUUGGUUGCCGGAGGUGCUUCACAUCACGAUGAAUGUCUGGUAGAAUUAGUUGAAGCAUUUUACGCUCGUGUUCUUGCCAUGGUUCCUAUCAGGGAUUACUUCCCCACAACCCCCACCUGACAUGCCAAACUAUUGUCGCUAAACUUCGAUGAGGUAGUCGGA